AUCCCUGUGAUGGAAUGUUAUUCAGCCUUAAAAAGGAAUGUAAUUCUGAUACGUGCUACAACAUACAUGAACCUUGAAAACAGCCACGUGAAAUAAGUCAGACACAGAAAGACAAAUAUUGUAUGAUUCCACUUAGAUGAGGUAUCUGGAAAGUAGAGGAGGGAUUACCAAAAGCAGAGGGGAAGGGGGAAUGGGGAUAUGUUGUUUCAUGGGUGUAGAGUUUCUGUUUGUGAUGAUGAAAAAUUUCUGGAAAUCGUGAUGACGGUUGCACAACAUUGUGAAUGUCCUUACUGUCACUGAGCUCUACGUUAAAAAUGGUUGAAAUGGUAAAUUGUAUGUUACGUACAUUUUAUCACAAUUUAAAAUUUUUUUUUAAUGUUUAUUUUUGAAAGGAGAGAAAGAGACAGAGCAUGAGUGGGGGAGGGGCAGAGAACAAGGGUGGCAUAGAAUCCGAAGCAGGCUCCAGGCUCAGGGCUGUCAGCACAGAGCCCCAUUACGGACUUGAACCCACGAGCCACGAUAUCAUGACCUGAGCCAAAGUUGGACGUCCAACCGACUGAGCCACCCAGGCACCCCGUCACAAUUUUUAAAAUACUAAAAAUAAAUGGAACUACUUUCUAUCUGAAGACCUAACCAUAGACAUCUUCUAACACUGAAGUCUGUAGACCCAGCAAGUGGCUCUUUCUUCGUGUAAAAUUCAACAAACAACCCAGUGGAACUUUAAGUGCCAUUAAACACCAGCCUUCCGUUCAUUGUAGUUGGCAUCAUAUUUAAGCAAUUACAACUUACCUUUUAUUUGUUCAUGGUACUCACCCUACUCCCAAGUAGCUAAGUUGCUUAACAUCAUGAGCCAGUUGCCAAGAUAAGCUCUGUGCUAUCACAGUGUUGGACCAAUGCUGUCCAUGGGAAUGGUCCUACAUGCUUUUAGUUGACCAGAUGCAAAAGGAACUUCGAGUCAUUUCACUCAAGACUAUAGAUCGUCAGCUGAGAGUACUGAGAAUGAAGUCAUUAGAAAGGACAGACUGGGAUGGACCUCUGACAACCAAUUCUUAAAAAAUACUUCUGUCUUCAGGCCUGCCUUCCCCACAUGAAUUCUCAGUAACUUUGAAGAGCAAAGUGAGAAGAGGGCAGUGUUACACUGGGAGAAACCACUUGGAGAUGUGCCAGAUUUCCCCACGUCUCCUGGUAUUAGUUCCUGGUUUGUUCCUUAACGUGAAUGAAAACCAUUUUGAGCAGACGGAAGAGCAAUACCGGAAGGCUGGGAUUCUGAGUUUCACCUAGAACGGAGAAGCCAGGACUUGGGAUUUUCCCCUCAAUCACCAUGCUGUGCUGAUGUGAGGAGCUCUGGGAAAUUAACCAACUGGCCGAGAAGCAACAGAUCUGAAUGCAUGGGGGAAAAAACCCAGUUGCUCAAGCCUGUCAAAAUGUAUAUUGAAAAAUUUUCAUCAACUCGCUUUGAAACAUACUCUCUAACCUAAACCCAGUGUCAGUGGACUGUGGCAGGUGUUCCACAUGGUAGUUUAAGAAUGUCUGUGGGAGACGUGGAAGUAAUUCAAACAAAAGAGGGCCUUUUUUUUUUUUUUUUUGUCAAUAGAGGGGAUGGUGGAUACAUUUCACGCAGAGGCAACAUUUGUGUUGAGUUUGAACUGUGGAUGGGAUAGACGAUUAGUGUUCCUGUCCAGGUUUGGAUUGAGCCCCAGGGACCUGACUGAACCAGAGGCAAUUGACUGAAUUCAGAUGCCACAAUUAGGCUGGGAAAAAUCCAAGAGGAAUACAUUUUUUUCCACCCAGAUGACCUGAGACACUUGUCUAUGCUUGAAUUUCCCUGUUGAUCUCAGUAUGUGUGUCUUUUUCUUUAAAGCUGAUGAGUGGGAUAACCAGACAACACUAAAGUUAAGAAGUUUCUCACAUAUCCACUGUAUAUUUUUCUAAAAACUCUGCCCAUAUUUCUUUUCAUCACAUGUAUUUAUCACACAUAAUGGAGGGUUUUUCCAUCUAAAAAACAUAGUGACUCAUUUUGCUAAUCAAUAUUAAUUCAUACAUGUAUGGUUUAGAUAGAUAUGAAUUUUUCAAUGUACAUUUGGUUUGAAGUAGAAUAAGGAUUUUUUUUUUACCCAUUCAGAUAUUUCUAGGAGAGCAAGUAAAAACAGGAACAUAGAUAGAUGUAAGUAAAUGGUAGAGAACAAGUAUGAGACCUGCCCUUAGAGAGAUAAACAUCUAAUAAUGUGUGAACAGAUUUCAACUGAUAUCAGAAAGGCUGUGAACAACAUUGGUUUUGUUUCAUCAUUUGAGGGAAAGAAUAAGAGAAGAGAGAAUAGUGUCCUCUUUUUCUCCCGCUUGGUUGGGAGACUGUCAUCAACAUUGGCUUUAAUCCUGGAUAAUCAACUUUUCUAGCAAUUGAAUGCAAGGAAGUUGGGUUUGUUAGCGAUUUGAACAAUUUCCAAAUGAAAAUCAACUUAGUUUUUUCUAUUUCCUGACAUAUUGGCAAAUCAUUUUUAUGAGCCCUUAUGUGAUUCAUUGAGCCAUUUGGGGAGGGUCAGAGGGCAAGAGUGCCAUUUACCAGAGCAGGUUUAAGCUGGGAAAGGCGAGGUCAGAGGGGAAGAGAGACCCUCAUUACUCUGGGAGGUUCUGGGGGCCAGCUCUGAGCCUGCCCAACUGUGUUAGGCUCACACUGGGUGUUUGUUAGCACAAAGCACCGAACUGCAGGUGUUCUGUGCUCUAACAGAGUCCUCAAAGAUCAGCCUCAAAUGUUUCUGUUACUAUGAAGAGGAUUAAAAGGAUUUAAAAACCUAGCAGGCCUGUCCAAAUGCUAGCAUAUUUGCCAACAUUUGCCAAGAGGGAGGAAAACAGGAUAGGCCGUAUCAGCUACGAGGCUUGGUAGUUGGGGGAAACAUACUUUUCAGGUUUCUUUUCCCCCCCUUUCUCUCCUUUUUUUAAUAGCCUGAAUGUGGAACUGUAGCACUUUCAACUGGAACUCGUUAAGAAUUCAUGGAGCAGAAAAUGUAAAGGGUUCUGGAAAUAGGGACUUUGAAAGGCCAGAAGUGAGCUAUAAAUAAACUGCUGUUGAUACUCAUUUUUUUUUCUGGUGGUUAAAUACACUUAUUACACCAGAAUGCCCACGUGGAAUAAACCAGGUGAUUUUGACCUGAAAACCCAAUUUACAUGGAGGGGCACGUUGACAUUUAUGGACUUACUUACCACGUAGAGGUAUCAUAACAGCCAUUACACAUUCUUGAAAAGCACUUUGGCUAUCCUGUAUGGCUUGUCUGUAUUGACAGCCAUCACCUGCAAGUGAAAGUAUGAGGGUCAGGCAUCUGGAAUCCUUGUUAAAGCACCAAUGUUACUGCUUAUCGUUAAUGGAUUUUACCAUCAAAUUCCAAUUUCUUUGCUUUCAGCUUUGCCCUACCUUUAGUUGUUCUGGUUCCUCUAUACAACACACUGAUUUUUCAGUGAGGUCCAGUGAAGAGGCUGAGAACUGAGUUAGCUGUGUGACCUUGGGUAAGUCAGAUAGCUUCUCUGAGCUUAGCUUCCUUACUGAUCAAGUUGGAGUAAUAAUAAAUUGCGCUAUCCUCCUCAUAAGAUGUGGCAUUUUUAAAUAGGGGUGAGGCUGACACCAAAGACUUCCUUGCAUGUGUUUAUAGAUAAUAUGUGAAGGUAUGUGCAUACACACACCCCCCCCCCCACACACACACACACACAGCCAUGUCUCCCAUACACAUUAUAUAAGUCUCCGAUUUCUAGGGUGAUAUUGUAAGAGUUUGCUUGUGUAAUGGGUGUUGAUUUUGGAGCUCACUGCAGAAACCUAUUAUUUGAAUAUGUCCUAUCAUGUGAUGUUUGGUACAGGAAUUCCUAACCUGGAUCCAUGGCCACUGCAGACUCAAAGAUAGGCCUUAGAGGUCUGUACCCCAGAGAGUGGAUGCAAACAUUUAGUCUGCAAUACAUGCAUUUUCUGGAAAGAAGUUUCAUUAUUUCUAUCUGGUUCUCAAGGGAGUCUACAAAUCUUGAAAAUAUUUAAGAACCACUACUCUGCAAGCUCUGGACUGUAAGGCAAUGGGGGGAAGGAUACAGGCUGUCUCUCCAAAGACAAGAUAGUUCUUGAUUUUUUCUCAUGGCUCUUCCGUUUUUCUUUUCUCCAUUUCAUCAUCAGUUAAGAAGGUAUACAACGCAUAUUUGAAAUUUAAAUCAGGUAAUUCACUUUUAACACAGUGUUUGAUAAUGCUCAAUAAGUGUUAGCUCUUGUUUUAGCAUUUUAAUAUCAUGUAGUAUCUUGAUAAGCAAGAGAGGCAUGCAGGAGAUAUUGCCCUUGAUUAACUUGCCUUUGAAGAGCUUGAAGGGAUCAGACACGUUAAUAUGUAUCAAAUAACAAUGAGAUUAUGUGGGAAAGAUUUCAAGGAAAUGAUGGAGGGAAUUUUGCAUGUGUUCAGAUUGAAGAGCAGCCUGAGAUAGGAAGACUGGAUGAAGAGAAGUUGGAUACUCUAGUGAGAGUUCAAAGGGGGAAUGAGUCAGUCUUCCAAGUGAGAUGCAUCCAGAGGUAACUUUAGCCAGACAGGUUGAAGCAAGAUUGUGGAGGGUCGAGAAUGACAUGCUGUGGAGUUCGGAUUUGACCUGGAGGUAAUGGGAGCUUCAGAUGAUUUUGAGCAGGAAAAUUACAUGAAGAAAACAAUAUAUUCAAAGCAUUAAUUUGGCAUAUAUGGGCAGGAUGGAGCCAUGUGAGAAGGUACUGGAGUCAGGAAGGGAACCGGGAGCUAUGGCAAUAAUCAAGGUGUGAGGUGAUGGGGGCCUGCUCCAGGAUGGGAAUGUUUGUGGAAGGUGCUGGGUAUGGGGGCGGUGGGGCGUGUAUCCACCUUAAUUGCUUAUUUGCUAUGAUUUCUGUUUCCAAUGGCAGUUUGCCUUGGCUACUAAACCUUCCUGACCCUGAAAUGUUCACUCCAGUCUUCCAACAGGGGAAGGAAAGAGGAAAGGAAGGGAAGAAAGGAGAGACGGAGGAUGGGAAUUGUUAGAGCAGGCAGUCAGGGACCUCUAGCGUGGAGACUGGAUUCUAAUCAACCGAAGUAGUCUCAGGGAGAGAAGGAGGAAGAGAGUAAGGAUGGUCAUUUGGACUUACUCAAUUUAGGAAUAACUUCCUCAAAAAGAGUCAAUAUGACUGAAAAAUGAGUGACUUUAGUCUCCUAUUUACAUCAGAAGGAGCCAUAAAAUGCAGAGAAAGAGAGGCAUUUGCUCUCCUGAUUGAGCUUCAGGUUCACCUAAAGUGAUGGUUUUCAAACUUUUUUGACCAACGCUCCAUAAUAAAAAAUAAAUUUAGAUGGUAGUGAAACACACACACACACACACACACACACACACACAAAUAUAAACAUAAACUUUAUUGAAAUAAAAGUUUUAUAGAACAUUCCUUCUCUUACCACCUGUGAUUCAUUCUGAUAUAUUUUUUUCUGAUCUAUGUAUGUAUUUAUAUAUGUAUGUAUUUUUACAAAGGAUGGUUGUGAGUCACUAAACUGAUUUUUUGAUCCACUAAUGGGUUACAACCUGCUCCUUAUAAACCAUAGACUUCUAAGGAGCUGGGAUUCAGCACCAGGAUCAGGAGAUUCACGUACUCACAGGCACAACUGGAAUGUUUUGGUCGGCUUCUGUUUCCUACCCACUGGCCUCACCCAAGCCUUUAUUCUCUGUGGAGUUUCAAAACCUGAGAAGAGAUCGCGGCCCUGCUCCAUUUAUUUUAGAACUCCAUUUCAGAACCUGAUCUCAGAUGCAGUGCCUACACCCAAGCCCCCUGGCAGGGCCGUCCAGUUCACUAGCAUGGCAGUCCUCACUUGGGACACGAAGCCCACACACGAAGAUCCAUCAACAGGGCUUGUUCCCUAAUGAGACCUGAACCCAGACACAAUGGCCACAAUUGGUACAGACAUUUUAAUGUCUUGGGCUGGUUCCUUAUAUUAUCCUUGGCUCUAGUGGACCAAUGCACACACAGUAACAUUCUUUACCUGAAGUUAGCUGUAAUUUCAAACUAGGUAGAAUUCUUUCCUACCUUUGAAACCACAAAAUAAAAUCAAAGAAAUAGGAUCUUUUGCAGACUGUGGCUUUGCAUUGACGAGAAGGGGUGAAAGGCAAGCACAUGGCCUCAGGUUGGAAAUAAAUUUUAAAAUGUCUGAUUUUGAUCAUAAGGCCAAAUUAUCUGGGCACGCAGUGGUCAUUAAAGCCUUCUGUCUGUAAGCCUCUCGUGUAUGUAUAUGCGUACCUGUAGUUCAGCAUUCUGGCUCAAUAAUAAGUAGAACAUCAAAGCAGAGAAGGAAAAGUGAACCCAGGCAAUGAAAAUCAAUCUGAUUUAAGGGAAUUGAGUCUGCCUAUGAACUCAGCUAGUUAUCAAUAUCCUGGAAAGAAAAAUGUAGAAUAUCAAUUCUAGGAGCCAUAAAUCAAAAUGGGGGUGCAAUUAUUUCCACUUACAUGUUCCUGCUUUUAAGAAGACUAAAGUUGUGAGGAAUAACUCAGGUGGGAAUGAACUCCAGUAUUUUGCAGUGGUCAUUCUUCUUUUGGGAACAGUGGCCUACUUAUUACCUGACUUUGACCAUUUCCCUGGAAAUUUGAGUGUAUAUUGGCAACACUGUUGAGUGUUUUGGUGGGCCCCUGGUUUCCUUUAUGGUCUAAGGAUUGGGUGGAUAUGUCGUCUGCUCAAUUUCCAAGUAAAGCCCCAAGUUAAAUGGUUCUAGAACUAUGGUACAUUAAUCCCCAGAAGGAAGUCAGUAGAUGACUUUUGAAAUUAUAUGGAAAAUUUUGUGUAUAAGUAUGAGAAUGAAUUUUUCUAGGAAGAAGGCCAUAGCUUUCAUCAGUCUGCCAAAAAGAUCUGCAAAAAGCUUAAGAAUCACUGCACCAGAAUAUCACCAGCAUCUAGAUGUGUCAAAGUAAUAUAAUCAUCAGGCUCUAUCUUCGGGGACCACUCAAAUCAUGGAUUGGAAAGUGAAAACACCACACGGCAAAUGGCUUCAUUUAGAGUCGAAGGCUGGGGUAUGGGACGUGGUUUGGAUUCCUGUGUAAGCCAGCUUCCUUCUGCCUCAUGACUAUACACUGUAUGACAACCAACUCAAUUGGUCAAGGACCAAUUGUAAAAAGGGAGCUAUAAUGAGAAAGGCAGUAUAAACAACAGAUAAAUGGAAAAUCCAGGACCAGACCUUGUAUCUUUAAAUCCAGGUCAAAUGCUCCUUCCAUUUCCUUACACUGCCAUGAUAAUUCUUUCAGUCAUUCAAACAUUUAGCAUGUGAGUACUGGUCUGUCACUGAGCUGUUUUCUCCAGGCCCAACGUCCCAGCUUCUUUGAUUCAGCUCUUAAAAUUGACAUGUCCAGUCCCUCUAAUAUUGUGGUUCCUACUCUUAGAAACACUCUCCUCUUUGUCAAUGUCCCAUUAAAUUGCUAGAUUCCUAGGGGCGCCAGGGUGGCUCAAUCAGUUAAAUGUCUGACUCUUGAUUUCUGCUCAAGUCACGAUCUCACUAUCAUGGGAUUCGGGCUCCGGGCUGGCCGCACAGAGCCUGCUUGGGAUUCUGUCUCUCCCUCUCUCUCCGCCCCUCCCCCACCCAAGUGCUUGCUCUCUCUCUCUCUCUCUCUCUCUUUCUCAAAAAAUGAAAAAUACAACAAAAAAUAAUAAAAUAAAAUAAAGUAAAAUAAGUGCUGGGCUUCUAGAAAAUAUUUCAGAUAUGAAGCACAACAAGGGCUAGCGAUUUACCACUGUCUUUUUCCUUCCAAGGAAUAUGGGACUAAGAAAGCUCUGUUGCUUACAGUACCAAAUAGCACAUGUUGUUCUGAUACCGAGCCAUUUACCUCUGAAUCCCUGAAGUCUACAGUGAUAGAUAUCCUCCAAGAUGGCCCCUGAAGUUUCUUGCUCCUCCUAUUUAUCCCCUUGUGUAGUCCCCUGCUACACUAAAAAGUACUGAUCUGUAGGGCACCUGGGUGGCUCAGUCUGUUGGGCAUCCGACUUUGGCUCAGGUCAUGAUCUCGCCAUUUGUGGGUUCAAGCCCCGCGAUGGGCUCUGUGCUAACAGCUCAGACCCUGGAGCCUGCUUUGGAUUCUGUGUCUCCUCCUCUCUCUGCCCCUCCUGUGCUCAUGCUCUGUCUCUCUCUGUCUCUCAAUACUAAAUAAACGAUAAAAAAACUAAAAAGAAAACUACUGAUCUGUGUAACUAAUAGAAUAUUGUGGAAAUGAUGGAGUGUGAUUCCAGGGCAAAGUUGUAAAAGUCAUUCCAUUAUUUUUUUUUUUUUGUCCUUCCUAUCUUUUAGGUAACCUAUUCUGGAGGGAGAAAGUGCCCAUGUUGUAAGGGAACACAAACAGCCCUAUAUGGAGGUCCAUGUAACAAGGAACUGAGGCUUCCUGCCAAUAGCUAGUGUUGUAUUGCCAGUCAUGUGAGUGAACCAUCAUGGAAGUGAAUUCUCCAGCCCUUGUUGAGCCUUUAGAUGCCUUGACCCUAGCCAACUUCUUGACUGAAUUCUUUUGAGAGACGCUGAGCCACAUCCAUCCAGCUAAGUCACUCUCAAAUUCCUCAAUUUUAAAGAUAUUUGUUGCACAACAAAAGAUAACUAACACAUCUAUUCAGUAGAUAAGUGAAGCCUAACUCUAUCAUGUGCUUUAGAUUCACAUUCAAACAAAGAUACUGAUCAUCUAAUAUGGUGCCGUAUAUUUUGUGACAUGUUUCAAAAUAAAUUAUUUUGUUCACUUUUUAUGAUAACUCUGUUAUGGAUGCAUAAUAAGCCCUUUUUUACGUAGUAGAAAACUAAGACUCAGAGAGGCAAAGCAACUUCACUAUGGUCUCAUAUCUAGAAAAUGAAGUGAGAACUUGUAUUACUGACCAGAUUCCCAUGUUCCACCUGCUAGGGUACAGUUUCAAAGGACAUAUAAAGCCACAAGAACCAUAGUGGAGGGCUAUGGUGCUCAGGGAAGAUAACACUAUAUCUUUACAUUCCUGUACUGGUACAACCAACUAUUUUACACCUUCAUUGAAAAUGUGACUUUACUGCAGAAUCUAUUGUAUUUCAUGCUUCCUUUUCUUUUUCCAGAAUUCUUUUCAAGGCAAAAUAUCAAUGAAAAAGUAUUGAUUAUGGCUAUAGUGAGGGAGUAGAUUUGCGGAACCAGUAUGAAAGCUAUUAUGUGUUUUUUUCUGGAUGUUUAGAUGGAGAUAUAUUCUUCAUCUCUUCACAUGAUCAUAAAGUCACAUUUAACAGAUCUUGCCAACAUCUAUAUACUUGACUAUAGUAUUGCAUAAAAAGAAAACCCACAUUAGAGCAUAAGCUAUGUUUUAUGUUCACCACUGUACCCCAAUGUAUAAGUGCAUGGAUGUGGCAGAUACUUAACAAGUAAUGUUGACUAUUACAACAUAUGAUGGACAGGCCGCUUUAUAAAAUGGACGUUUACCUUCAAAUUAAGAUAAAGACUGUCACUCUAAUUUUUACAUAUAUAUUUUCUACUUAUCACUAAAAUCUAUACUUUCUAUAUUUCUUUCUGUAUAGAAAGAAAUGCAAGAACCUGAAACAAAUAAUUCAGACACUAACACAUUUCUUCAUGGGGAUUAUUCACAUUUUAUAUAGUGGUACUAGUGAAUGGUGUCCAAAGUCUGAGCCCUAUUAUUUUUCAUCACAUUAAAGAAAAAGCUUUGAAAGGUAGAAUGGUGAGACAUCACUCUUUCUUUUUAUCCCAUGGCUGCAUGUCAUUUUUAUUUUCAUACCUCAUCUUGGAUGAACUU
Long non-coding RNA from Acinonyx jubatus (cheetah), 9718 nucleotides. RefSeq lists it as uncharacterized. The record is from RefSeq and is a predicted model, not a curated record. Lineage: Eukaryota; Metazoa; Chordata; Mammalia; Carnivora; Felidae. The transcript is spliced from 4 exons.